GCUGGGUGUGGUGGCGCACACCUGUAGUCCCAGCUACUCAGGAGGCAGAGGCAGGAGGAUCACUUGAGCUCAGAAGGUCAAGGCUGCAGUGAGCUAUGAUCACAUGACUGCACUCCAGCCUGGGUGACACAGGAGACCCUGCAUCUUAAAAGAAGAAAAGUUGGGUAUGGUGGCUCACGCCUGUAAUCCCAGGACUUUGGGAGGCUGAAGUGGACAGAUCACUUGAGCCCAGGAGUUUGAGAUCAGCCUGGGCAACAUAGUGAAACCCCAUCUCU
Molecule: small RNA, 275 nt
Filed under: Nomascus leucogenys (northern white-cheeked gibbon)
Lineage: Eukaryota; Metazoa; Chordata; Mammalia; Primates; Hylobatidae
Description: Metazoan signal recognition particle RNA (ENSNLEG00000034264.1)
Source: RNAcentral